This 71-nucleotide transfer RNA is filed under the name Loxodonta africana (African savanna elephant). It matches the Rfam family "tRNA". From Rfam's summary of the family: Transfer RNA (tRNA) molecules are approximately 80 nucleotides in length. Their secondary structure includes four short double-helical elements and three loops (D, anti-codon, and T loops). The record is from Rfam by way of RNAcentral. Lineage: Eukaryota; Metazoa; Chordata; Mammalia; Proboscidea; Elephantidae.
GCAGUAGUGAUUCAGUGGUAGAAUUCUUGCCUUCCACGUAGGAGCCCUGGUUUUGAUUUCCAGCCAGUGCA